This 439-nucleotide ribosomal RNA is filed under the name Brachyspira hyodysenteriae. RNAcentral describes it as "bacterial SSU rRNA". It matches the Rfam family "Bacterial small subunit ribosomal RNA", at positions 46 to 502 of the family's 1533-position model. Lineage: Bacteria; Pseudomonadati; Spirochaetota; Spirochaetia; Brachyspirales; Brachyspiraceae. The record is from RNAcentral.
GUCUUAAGCAUGCAAGUCGAGCGGGCUUAUUCGGGCAACUGGAUAAGUUAGCGGCGAACUGGUGAGUAACACGUAGGUAAUCUGCCGUAGAGUGGGGGAUAACCCAUGGAAACAUGGACUAAUACCGCAUAUACUCUUGCUACAUAAGUAGAGUAGAGGAAAGGAGCAAUCCGCUUUACGAUGAGCCUGCGGCCUAUUAGCCUGUUGGUGGGGUAACGGCCUACCAAAGCUACGAUAGGUAGCCGACCUGAGAGGGUGACCGGCCACAUUGGGACUGAGAUACGGCCCAGACUCCUACGGGAGGCAGCAGCUGAGAAUCUUCCACAAUGGACGAAAGUCUGAUGGAGCGACAUCGCGUGAGGGAUGAAGGCCUUCGGGUUGUAAACUCGGAAAUUAUCGAAGAAUGAGUGACAGUAGAUAAUGUAAGCCUCGGCUAACU